Non-coding RNA from Gnomoniopsis sp. IMI 355080, 149 nucleotides. The record is from the annotation of a GenBank genome assembly. NCBI's taxonomy places the organism in Eukaryota, Fungi, Ascomycota, Sordariomycetes, Diaporthales, Gnomoniaceae.
GCCCGGCUAGCUCAAUCGGUAGAGCGUGAGACUCUUAGUAAUCUCACGAUUUCUGAAAUCUCAAGGUUGUGGGGUACGUUUACAUGCUUCGGGUCACACAUUCGAAUCUUGCACUGACAUUCGAUAUAGUUCGACCCCCACGUCGGGCU